Molecule: long non-coding RNA, 416 nt
Filed under: Ananas comosus (pineapple)
Lineage: Eukaryota; Viridiplantae; Streptophyta; Magnoliopsida; Poales; Bromeliaceae
Description: long non-coding RNA (ACOM_LNC026652)
Source: RNAcentral
UGACUGUAUGAUUGACUGUAUGACUGUUUAUGUUUGAUCUUUAAUGAAAAUUUUUUAAUCUUGAUUGUGCUUUGAGAAUGUUUUUGCAGGAACUUUCAAGACUUCAAGACUUCGUGUCUUCAUGUCUAAGUCAUAGAGUUUGUAUUAGGAUUGUGAGAGAAAUGUAAUUUUAUUUUAUUGGAUCGAUUAUGCAGGAGAUUGUCGUUUGGUGAUUGCGAUAAUCUUUUUUCUUUUUACUGUUUCUGAGGUUUGUAUGAGUAUUGUAAUAUGUUUUGUCAUGAAAUCGCCAAAGGGGGAGAUUGUUAAGGAUUUUCUAAGUUGGCAAAUUUCGUAAAGUCGAAUGGAGUCUUGAAGAGCUAAAAGCGAAGUUUUUGGAAAGAAGAUUCACUUUGAAGAUCAAAGAGUCAGUUGGGAAG